This 1844-nucleotide ribosomal RNA is filed under the name Shigella flexneri 2a. RNAcentral describes it as "partial 23S ribosomal RNA". It matches the Rfam family "Bacterial large subunit ribosomal RNA", at positions 1054 to 2877 of the family's 2925-position model. Lineage: Bacteria; Pseudomonadati; Pseudomonadota; Gammaproteobacteria; Enterobacterales; Enterobacteriaceae. The record is from RNAcentral.
CAUGGUUAAGUGGGAAACGAUGUGGGAAGGCCCAGACAGCCAGGAUGUUGGCUUAGAAGCAGCCAUCAUUUAAAGAAAGCGUAAUAGCUCACUGGUCGAGUCGGCCUGCGCGGAAGAUGUAACGGGGCUAAACCAUGCACCGAAGCUGCGGCAGCGACGCUUAUGCGUUGUUGGGUAGGGGAGCGUUCUGUAAGCCUGUGAAGGUGUGCUGUGAGGUAUGCUGGAGGUAUCAGAAGUGCGAAUGCUGACAUAAGUAACGAUAAAGCGGGUGAAAAGCCCGCUCGCCGGAAGACCAAGGGUUCCUGUCCAACGUUAAUCGGGGCAGGGUGAGUCGACCCCUAAGGCGAGGCCGAAAGGCGUAGUCGAUGGGAAACAGGUUAAUAUUCCUGUACUUGGUGUUACUGCGAAGGGGGGACGGAGAAGGCUAUGUUGGCCGGGCGACGGUUGUCCCGGUUUAAGCGUGUAGGCUGGUUUUCCAGGCAAAUCCGGAAAAUCAAGGCCGAGGCGUGAUGACGAGGCACUACGGUGCUGAAGCAACAAAUGCCCUGCUUCCAGGAAAAGCCUCUAAGCAUCAGGUAACAUCAAAUCGUACCCCAAACCGACACAGGUGGUCAGGUAGAGAAUACCAAGGCGCUUGAGAGAACUCGGGUGAAGGAACUAGGCAAAAUGGUGCCGUAACUUCGGGAGAAGGCACGCUGAUACGUAGGUGAAGCGACUUGCUCGUGGAGCUGAAAUCAGUCGAAGAUACCAGCUGGCUGCAACUGUUUAUUAAAAACACAGCACUGUGCAAACACGAAAGUGGACGUAUACGGUGUGACGCCUGCCCGGUGCCGGAAGGUUAAUUGAUGGGGUUAGCGCAAGCGAAGCUCUUGAUCGAAGCCCCGGUAAACGGCGGCCGUAACUAUAACGGUCCUAAGGUAGCGAAAUUCCUUGUCGGGUAAGUUCCGACCUGCACGAAUGGCGUAAUGAUGGCCAGGCUGUCUCCACCCGAGACUCAGUGAAAUUGAACUCGCUGUGAAGAUGCAGUGUACCCGCGGCAAGACGGAAAGACCCCGUGAACCUUUACUAUAGCUUGACACUGAACAUUGAGCCUUGAUGUGUAGGAUAGGUGGGAGGCUUUGAAGUGUGGACGCCAGUCUGCAUGGAGCCGACCUUGAAAUACCACCCUUUAAUGUUUGAUGUUCUAACGUGGACCCGUGAUCCGGGUUGCGGACAGUGUCUGGUGGGUAGUUUGACUGGGGCGGUCUCCUCCUAAAGAGUAACGGAGGAGCACGAAGGUUGGCUAAUCCUGGUCGGACAUCAGGAGGUUAGUGCAAUGGCAUAAGCCAGCUUGACUGCGAGCGUGACGGCGCGAGCAGGUGCGAAAGCAGGUCAUAGUGAUCCGGUGGUUCUGAAUGGAAGGGCCAUCGCUCAACGGAUAAAAGGUACUCCGGGGAUAACAGGCUGAUACCGCCCAAGAGUUCAUAUCGACGGCGGUGUUUGGCACCUCGAUGUCGGCUCAUCACAUCCUGGGGCUGAAGUAGGUCCCAAGGGUAUGGCUGUUCGCCAUUUAAAGUGGUACGCGAGCUGGGUUUAGAACGUCGUGAGACAGUUCGGUCCCUAUCUGCCGUGGGCGCUGGAGAACUGAGGGGGGCUGCUCCUAGUACGAGAGGACCGGAGUGGACGCAUCACUGGUGUUCGGGUUGUCAUGCCAAUGGCACUGCCCGGUAGCUAAAUGCGGAAGAGAUAAGUGCUGAAAGCAUCUAAGCACGAAACUUGCCCCGAGAUGAGUUCUCCCUGACCCUUUAAGGGUCCUGAAGGAACGUUGAAGACGACGACGUUGAUAGGCCGGGUGUGUAAGCGCA